RNAcentral lists this ribosomal RNA (253 nucleotides) under uncultured bacterium. RNAcentral describes it as "partial 16S ribosomal RNA". It matches the Rfam family "Bacterial small subunit ribosomal RNA", at positions 524 to 776 of the family's 1533-position model. The record is from RNAcentral.
UACAGAGGGGGCAAGCGUUAUUCGGAAUUAUUGGGCGUAAAGAGCUCGUAGGCGGUUUGUCGCGUCUGCCGUGAAAGUCCGGGGCUCGACUCCGGAUCUGCGGUGGGUACGGGCAGACUAGAGUGAUGUAGGGGAGACUGGAAUUCCUGGUGUAGCGGUGAAAUGCGCAGAUAUCAGGAGGAACACCGAUGGCGAAGGCAGGUCUCUGGGCAUUAACUGACGCUGAGGCGCGAAAGCUAGGGGAGCAAACAGG